UACGUAGGGUGCGAGCGUUAAUCGGAAUUACUGGGCGUAAAGCGUGCGCAGGCGGUUUUGUAAGCCAGAUGUGAAAUCCCCGGGCUUAACCUGGGAACUGCAUUUGUGACUGCAUGGCUGGAGUGUGGCAGAGGGGGAUGGAAUUCCGCGUGUAGCAGUGAAAUGCGUAGAUAUGCGGAGGAACACCGAUGGCGAAGGCAAUCCCCUGGGCCUGCACUGACGCUCAUGCACGAAAGCGUGGGGAGCAAACAGG
This 253-nucleotide ribosomal RNA is filed under the name uncultured bacterium. RNAcentral's name for it is "partial 16S ribosomal RNA". It matches the Rfam family "Bacterial small subunit ribosomal RNA", at positions 524 to 776 of the family's 1533-position model. The record is from RNAcentral.